RNAcentral lists this ribosomal RNA (496 nucleotides) under uncultured bacterium. RNAcentral's name for it is "partial 16S ribosomal RNA". It matches the Rfam family "Bacterial small subunit ribosomal RNA", at positions 28 to 506 of the family's 1533-position model. The record is from RNAcentral.
GAUGAACGCUGGCGGCGUGCCUAAUACAUGCAAGUCGAGCGAACGGACGAGAAGCUUGCUUCUCUGAUGUUAGCGGCGGACGGGUGAGUAACACGUGGAUAACCUACCUUUAAGACUGGGAUAACUUCGGGAAACCGUAGCUAAUACCGGAUAAUAUUUUGAACCGCAUGGUUCAAAAGUGAAAGACGGUCUUGCUGUCACUUAUAGAUGGAUCCGCGCUGCAUUAUCUAGUUGGUAAGGUAACGGCUUACCAAGGCAACGAUGCAUAGCCGACCUGAGAGGGUGAUCGGCCACACUGGAACUGAGACACGGUCCAGACUCCUACGGGAGGCAGCAGUAGGGAAUCUUCCGCAAUGGGCGAAAGCCUGACGGAGCAACGCCGCGUGAGUGAUGAAGGUCUUCGGAUCGUAAAACUCUGUUAUUAGGGAAGAACAUAUGUGUAAGUAACUGUGCACAUCUUGACGGUACCUAAGCAGAAAGCCACGGCUAACUACGU